CAAACUUUUAAACAGAUUUUCAUAUAAAAUUAAGGCAAAAACACAGCAAACAUAUUUUAUACCUAGUAAAUCCAAAUAAGUUGACUAACAUUUUAGAAAAAAUAAAACUUCAAUAAAAUAAGCUGCAUUUUUUACUUAGCAUUCUAACUUAGCAGUCUACCUAAGUUAGAAAAUAUAAUGGGGCCGGACGUGGUGGCUCAUGCCUGUAAUCCCAGGACUUUGGGAGGCCAAGGCAGGUGAUCACAAGGUAAGGAAUCCAAGACCAGCCUGGCCAGCAUGGUGAAACCCUGUCUCUACUAAAAAAAAAAAACAAAAAUUAGCUGGGCGUGGUGGUGGGCACCUGUAAUCCCAGCUACUCAGGAGAAUUGCUUGAACCCAGCAGGUGGAGGUUACAGUGAGCUGUGAUCUUGCCAUUGAACUCCAGCCUGAGUGAGACUGUUUUAAAAAAAAAAAAUAAUGGGAAAAGGAUACAGAUUUAUAAUAUGUAAAAAUUACUUAAAAGUAAUAUAAAUAACAACCAUGUAUAAUUUUAGAUAAUGAAAACAGUGAAACUUCAUUUAGAGUUAUAAGAGGGACUUGAAUAAAUGGACAUAUAUUCUACCCAAGACUGUUUUUGGAUAAUAUGAUGUUAAUAAGAAUAUCGGAUCACAUUUUGUCUUGGAAUUUGACAUGAUAAUUUGAAAUUCAUGUGUCAGAAUGAAUAGAUAAAAAUACAAAAGAUUACUUUGAAAAAAUAAAGCUAAUGAUAGAGGGAAUUAAUCCUACCACAGAAUAAAGCAUAAUUUAAAAACAGCAAUAAUUAAAACAGUAUGAUACUAUUUGAUUUGAUCAUUAUGGGACACUUAAAGCUCAUAUACAUAAAAAUGACUAUGAUAGAAGCUAGAAAUUGCUAUAAAAACAUGAGUUUGGGAUUUUCAGAUACAGUAUUAAAGUUGCGCCGUUACUUUUCUGUGAGAUAUGACUGUGCUUCAGAAAGCAGAGGUUUUCUUUUUAGGUUUCUCUUGUAAGUUGGACCUUGUUUUAACACAGGAUAGUCAUCAUAUUUUAGGAUUAGACUUUAAAAAUUUUGUCUUUGAAGUGGUGUUGCUGACAUUGUUGAGGAUUAUAUAAAACAAACUUUGCACCUACUUUUUUGGCCUGGGUUGGGGGUGUUGAGAAAAAGUUUGUGCACAGGUUGUUGAUGUUUUUUAAAUAGUCAUGGUCAUAGCUGAGAUAUAUUAGGUUAGUGUGAUAUAUACUGUUAAGAAAAAGAUUAGUUUUAUCUUACUUGGCCUAAUUAGCGUUGCUCGGUUCAUUGGCCCAAAUGUAUCUAGACAAGACACUGUGAGAGCCAUGUGUUCUGAGUGGAGUGCUGUGAAAUACUGACAUAUUUUAUUUUGUCUUAAAAAUGAGCUAAAAUGAUAAUUAUAGAAAUGUAUUGUAUGGUCAUACUUGUAAUAAAUUCAUAGCAUCAGUACAUGCCCAUAAAUAAAAUAAACCAUUCAACUAAGGAUGUUUUCUCAACUUUUUAUGCUGACGUUAGUUUGCUGGUUGUUUAUUUUUGUUAUCUGGUAUGGAGUACAAGUGGUAGCUCAUAGCUCAAAUUUUAAAAAUUUAUGAGAGAAAAAGUUUUAAGUAGAGACAAUUAUAUAUUAACUUUUUCUUUUGGGGUGGGGGAAUUGAGGAAAGCUGACCACAUGCUUUUUAAUAACAGCAUAAUUGAGAUCUAAAUCACAUACCAUAAAACUCACACUUUUAAAUGAAGAAGGAUAAUAAGAGUAAAAUUUGUGAGCCAGUGCGUGCUCCUCCUCGCCUGCCGCUAGGUCCAGUCCGGCCCAGCCACCAUGUCCAUCCACUUCAGCUCCCCGCUGUUCAGCUUGCGCUCCACCGGCUUCUCCGGCCGCGGUGCCCAGGUGCGCCUGAGCUCCGCGUGCCCCGGUGGCUUCGGCAGCAGCAGCCUCUAUGGCCUGGGUGCCUCGUGGCUGCGUGUGACCAUGCGUUCCGCCUAUGGGGACCCGGUGGGCACCGGCAUCCACGAGGUCACCAUCAACCAGAGCCUGCUGGCUCCGCUGCGGCUGGACACAGACCCCUCCCUCCAGCAGGUGCGCCAGGAGGAGCGUGAGCAGAUCAAGACCCUCAACAACAAGGUGCGUUUUAUGGAGCAGCAGAACAAGCUGCUGGAGACCAAGUGGGUGCUGCUGCAGAAGCAGAAGUCAGCCAAGAGCAGCCGCCUCCCAGACAUCUUUGAGGCCCAGAUUGCUGGCCUUAGGGAGCAGCUUGAGGCGCUGCAGGUGGAUGGGGGCUGCCUGGAGGCUGAGCUGCGGAGCAUGCAGGAUGUGGUGGAGGACUUCAAGAAUAAGUACGAAGAUGAAAUUAACCGCCGCACGGCUGCUGAGAAUGAGUUUGUGGUGCUGAAGAAGGAUGUGGAUGCUGCCUACAUGAGCAAGGUGGAGCUGGAGGCCAAGGUGGUUGCCCUGAAUGAUGAGAUCAACUUCCUCAGGACCCUCCAUGAGACGGAGUUGACAGAGCUGCAGUCACAGAUCUCGGACACAUCUGUGGUGCUGUACAUGGACAACAGUCGCUUUCUGGACCUGGAUGGCAUCAUCACUGAGGUCAAGGCUCAGUAUGAGGAGAUGGCCAAAUGCAGCUGGACUGAGGCUGAAGCCUGGUACCAGACCAAGUUUGAGACCCUCCAGGCCCAGGCUGGGAAACAUGGGGACGACCUCCGGAAUACCUGGAACGAGAUUGCAGAGAUGAACUGGGCCAUCCAGAGGCUGCAGGCUGAACUCGACGCCAUCAAGAACCAGCAUGCCAAGUUGGAGGCCGCCAUUGCUGAGGCUGAGGAGUGCGGGGAGCUGGCACUCAAGGAUGCUCGUGCCAAGCAGGAGGAGCUGGAGGCCGCCCUGCAGCGGGCCAAGCAAGACAUGGCACGGUAGCGACGUGAGUACCGGGAGCUGAUGAGCGUCAAGCUGGCCCAGGACAUCUAGAUUGCUACUUACCGCAAGCUGCUGGAGGGCGAGGAGAGCCGGUUGGCCGGAGAUGGAGUGGGAGCCUUGAAUAUCUCUGUGGUGAAUUCCACUGGAGGCACUGGCAGUGGCAGUGGUGGUGGCAUUGGGCUGAGCUGCGGGGGAACCAUGGGCAGCAAUGCCCUGAUCUUCUCCAGCAGUGCGGGUCCUGGGGCCGCGAAGGCUUAUUCCAUCCGGACCACAUCCACCAGUCACAGGUGCGCCCGCAACUGAGCUGCCUCCCACCCCUCCAUUCCCCCAGCCACUGCCCACACUCCCAUCCCAAGACCGCGAGACAGUCUGGAAAGUGAUGUCUGCAUCCAAUAAAGCAGCCUCGUUCUGAGGCCUGAGUGGGGGAAAAAAAAAAAAAAGAAAAAUUUGUUUAUUUUAGUUACAAUUCACUGUUUCUUUUUGUAUAUUUACAGAAUAUACCAUCAUCAUGAUCUAAUUCUAGAAUAUCUUCAUCUCCCUCAAAAAGAGACCCUUUAUCUAUUAACAGUCACUCCUCAUUUCCCCCAACCCCCAGUAACCACUAAUCUACUUUCUGUAUCUAUGGAUUUGCCUAUUCUGGACAUGUCACAUAAAUGGUAUCGACUUAUAUAUGUUCACAUUCUUUUUUAGUGGCAAGAUGUCUGAAUCCAAGUCUAGAAAUACCAGCAUUCUUUUUUGUUUUUGAGAUGAAGUCUUGCUCUGUUGCCCAGACUGGAGUGCAGUGGUGCACUCUCGGCUUACUGCAACCUCUACUUCCCAGGUUCAAGUGAUUCUCCUGCCUCAGCCUCCCAAGUAGCUGGGCUUACGGGCAUGCACAGGCCAUGCCUGGCCAAUUUUUGUAUUUUUAGGGAGACAAGGUUUCAGUGUGUUGGCCAGGCUGGUCUUGAAUUCCUGACCUCAGAUGAUCCACCCGCCUCAGGCUCCAAAAGUGCUGGGAUUACAGGUGUGAGCCACCAUGCCCAGCCAUGAUGCUCUUUUCUUUAGAAUCAGUAGUGCUGCAAGAGGAAAGACUGCUUAGGAGAAAUGUUAAUAAGAAAACCCUUUAUUAUAUUAAAUGAAGAAGGAAAAUAAUUAGAAAUCAUAUAUGUGAAUUUUAUUUAAAUCUUUAACCCAAUUUCAGUAUUGUUUUCGAAGUGUGAUUUUUGCCAUUUAUAAUACAUACCUAAAUUCAACUGCUGACAUGGUAAGUUAUCUCUUUCACUGUGUUCUAUACCCAGAACACUCCUAGUGAUUGUGUUAGAUGUUAUAGGUGGUAUGAAUACUUUUGUGGGGGUUGGAUCUUCUUAAUUACCUUCCGUGAAAUUCUGUUAGUAGUUUUCUUAUAUGUGCACUCAGAACUUAAAUGGAAAAUUCUUUAUGCUCUUAAUUUCUUUUGCUUAAUUUGGUAAUCAGAGUGUUCACUUUUUGACCCAUUUAUAUACUUUUGAAAUAUGAAGAAAAAGCCCUCUCAUGUUUUCAUAUGAGCAGCCAGAUAGACAGCACUUUAAAAAUUAGCAUAUGUAUGUUUUGACUAUCUCACUUAAGACUGCCUGUCAGUUUGGCAGCUCUGAGCUUGUUAUUUCUGUGUCUUCUCUUUUUUCAUUUUCAUGUUUUGACAAAUAAGAUUGUACUUUUGACAAGUGAUUUAUACUUCAUCUAAGAAUUUCAAAGUGUUUUAAAUUUAUUUGUUAAACUAUCUAAAGAUCAUUUUAUCUACCCAUCUUUGGAUAAUACAAGAUUCUCAUCAAUGUAAAUGAAGAUAGAAAGUGAUACUAUUAGACUUCUUGCAGUAAAAGACAUUACUGGGCAAUAAUUAUUUUCAGAAUAAUUAUUGUUUACUUUUCAGAAGCUUAUAUUUCUUUCAGUUCAGUAUCUUUUGACUUACUCCUGUGUAUAAUACUGUCUAAAUGGGAAUGACCCUUCUUUUUGUAUUACUUGAGAGAGUAUAUCUUUCAAGAAUGAAGAUAUUUACAGGCAUCCCUUGAUAAGUGAAUAAAUGCCAUGCUGAACAUUUUAUUGCAAAAGGAAAUUCUAUGUAUUUAGUCUUAUAUAACCAACAUUAUAUGUAUUCAAUUUUUUAAUAAAUAUUUAAUGAGUACCUAAUAUACUGGGAAUUUUGUUCUUUUUUUUUUUUUGAGACAGAGUUUUGUAUUUGUUGCCCAGGUUGGAGUGCAAUGGUGCAAUCUUGGCUAACUGCAAACUCUGCUUCCCAGGUUCAAGUGAUUCUCCUGCCUCAGCCUCCCAGUAGCUGGGAUUACAGGCACCUGCCACUACACCCAGCUAAUUUUUUUGUAUUUUUAGUAGAGAUGGGGUUUUACCAUGUUGGCCAGGCUGGUCUUGAACUCCUGAUCUCAGGUGAUCUGCUUGCCUCAGCCUCCCAAAAUGCUGGGAUUACAGGGGUGAGAUUGGAUUUACAGUGGAUAACAAUACAGAUAGCACUACAUAGAGCUUAUAAGCUACUGGGUGCACAGAGGUUAAAUGAGUAAAUAAUGUAAUUUCAAAUUGUAAUAAGUGGUUUGAAGAAGAAAAACUAAAGUAAUAGGGUAUGUAAUUAUUUGUAGUUGGGGGGUAGGUUAAUUUUGGUUGGGGAUACCCUCUCUGGGAACUUGCUAUUUGAAAAGAAACUUGAAUGUGGAAAAGGAAAUACCUAUCCUGCAGGAAGAGUAUUCCAGGCAGAUGUAACAGCAAUUAACAAGGUCAUAAAGGAAGCAUAAGAAGGCAGGUAUAGCUGCAGCACAAUUAAGGGCAGUACAAUUAAGGGAAGGUAUGGUAAAAAAAAAAAAGAGAGUGAAAAGUAGAGGCUAGAUCAUGUAUGACCUUGUAAGCCACGUUAAAGCCUUUGGAUUUUAUUUUUUGUGCAAAGGGAAACCUUAAGCAGGUCUUAAACAGGGGCAAAUGUACAACCUAAUUUAUAGGAAGAUCAUCCUGGCUCCACCAAGAGCCUGCAUCACAAAAGGCAGAGUGGAAGAUAUUGUAGUAGUCCAGAUGAUGUUGAUGGCAUCUGUUGCUAAAGAGAAAGGGGUAGAGGUGUUGAUAAAGUGGCAGGAUUUGGAUUAGGUUUUGUAGGAAGAGAGCUGAGGACUUGCUAGUGGACUGGAUGUUGAGGCCAGGAAAGGAGAAGAAUCAAAGGGAACUAUGAAGUUUUGGCCUGAGUUGCCGGAUGAAUAGAGAUGCUAUUACUUGAGAUAAAAUAAAACUGAAGGAGGACAAGAGUCAUUGGCUGUGUGAGUCUGAGAUGUGUAUUAGACAUCUUAGCGGAAAUGUUGGGUAGGCAGUUACAAGUCUGGAGCUCAGUAGAGAGGUGGGUUUUUGAGGCAUAAAUCUGGGAGUCAUGAAUUAAGAGAUGGUAGGUAGAGGCUUGAGACUGGCUGAAUCUUUGAGGAGUAAUUAUAGACAGAAAAGAGGAUGGAAGACCUGUGCAUAUGUUCAUGCAAGAAAAAUUUGUAUUUUAAUAUAAGCAAAAUCAAAUGUCUCUUGCUAGUCAGAGUUCUGAGGUACAAGUAACAGAAAGCAACUGUGACUGUUUUUGUCGAAGGAAGACUUUAUUGAAAACAUAUUGGGUGGUUAAUAGAAUCAUUAAGGUGACUGGCAAAUCAGGUUAGAUAAUGGGCAGAAUCCAAGGGAAAACAGGUACCUGGAUAUCAUCCAUAACUAUAUACAGCAACUGUUAUAUCCUGACUACCGAACUUGAGCCAUCACUGUUGGAGCUGGAUACAGGUUACCCCCAUGAGAUCCUCUGGCACUUAUGACCCUAGAAACUGGAUGUUGCUGUGGCUACUUCCUGAGCAGUUUCUCUCUGCCACUAUUCCUUGGGUCACUUGCUUUACAUUCAAUGUUCUAGUAAAGAACUGAGCCUAGGUGUUGUGUCUUCAUCCUGACUCAGAUGGUAGGGGAAAGUAAUUAUCUGAAAUUUUUGGUUGCUUUCAUGAGAUAUUCUUUAUAUUCCACCAAGACUCAGAUAAUGGGUAAGUUCCCCAAAACAGAGGAUGGCAAUUCUGAUGCUAGGCAUUUUAACAACUGUAAAAAUGUACCUCCCUAACCACCACCUCAUUCCCCCACAAAAUGACUGUGGUUAUUCUCUAAUGCCAUGUCCAUGUUUUAGUUUUAUGAAUAUAAUACACUUGAUUGCUUAUGAAUUCAUUCAUUAGAGUGCCUCCAGAUGCACUUCAAGAGUAUUUUAUCCCACUGGUUGCGGUGCCUCAUGCCUGUAGUCUCAGCACUUUGGGAGGCCGAGGAGGGAGGAUCACCUAAGGUCAGGAGUUCGAGACCAGCCUGGCCAACAUGGUGAAACCCCUUCUCCACUAAAAAUACAAAAAUUAGCUGGGUGUGGUGGCAGGCGCCUGUAAUCUCAGCUACUCGGGAGGCUAAGGCAGGAGAAUUGCUUGAACCAGGAAGGCAGAAGUUGCAGUGGUCCAAGACUGUGUCACUGUACUCCGGCCUGGGUGACAGAGUGAACCUCCAUCUCAAAAAAACCAAAAAAUAAUAUUUUAUUCCUACUUCCUUUUCCCGUGAUCUGUUUCUUCCUCUAAGAUUAAGAAGAGACCCAUUUUUCCUAUGUCUCUUUCACCACAGCCAGAGAAAUACAGCCUCUGGUUAAAAACACACAAGUCAAUAAGCCUACAGUUCAAGCAUCUUUCUUUAAUUAAACCUACAUAUUAAAGAAAAAACCAGACAUACACACAGUCACUACCACUGCAUACUCAGGGUUUCUUUGGGAAAGUUAAUAAAUCUAAAGCUGUAUAUUCUGGCCCAAAUAUGUGACUACUGAAUCGAUUCCAGGUAAGUUUUAAUUAAGUAUGACAUACUGAAAUUUCCCCAGAUUAAUUAUUAAUUAUAUAAUAGCAAAAUUACACUUGCACUGUAGCUGUGGCUACCUGAUAGAGAAAAGAUUGUAGCCAAAGGUAUUACAAUCCAUUAAUUUGAUUUAUAUAAGACAAUUUAUGACAUAGUCAUAGUAUGGUUAUGGUGAGGACUAACUGCUUGCCAAAGAGAUAACAAGUAAGUAUGGUAAAUCCUCACUUAGCAUUGUUGAUAGGUUCUUGGAAACUGUGACUUUAAGUGAACUAAUGUAUAAUGAAACCGUUUUUUUUCUCAUUAACAUUAUAAAAAUGAUGUUGAAUAAAAGACAUUAUUUGAGGACCUGCUGUAUGUUGUUCUCUUUAAAGUUGCAGUUCCAAGAACCUAUGGAUAACAUUAAGGGAAGACUUACUGUAUUUUCAGGCUAACACUUAUGUUCUUUCAUAAGCAUCAUUGGAAAAUGAUUGCUGGACAUUUUCAUUGAGUGCUGGAUUUUGUUGUCUUCCCUCAAAGAGUGUUGAACCUUUCAAGGUUGGUUUGUAAGCUUUGUUAGAGUGAGUUAAGAGUACACUUUAGUCUGGGCUAGUUUACUCCUUCUGUGCAGACAUGACCUUUCUGAGGUCUCUACUGAAAGUCCUAGGUAUUUAAUAUAUCCCAUCACUCUGGCUGGUUGAACUUGGAAGUCUUGCAAUUCUGAUUGCAAGGCAGUUGGUCAGCUUAUGGCUUCCACUUUGCCUUGUGGAGUUUUACCAUAUGUUGGCCAAUUUAGUGUUCAGCCAAAACCUAAGAGGAUCCUGUGCUGAUUUCUGGAGCACUGGGUCUGUGUAGCUCCCUCUAAUUCUGUACUCUGAAUGUUCCAGCUACUUCGUCCUCCUUAAACUCUGAUCUCUGUUUUCUCAACUCAGCAAGAUCCUUUUGCUCUGUUUGGGAUCCCUUUCCUGCCCUGAAGUCUGGAAAGUGCCUCUAGGCAGAAAGCCAAGAGUGAUCAUAGGGCUCAUGUCAUUUGUUUUGCUUGCCUCAAGGUUCAUAGUACUGUGCUGCCUGUUGUGUGAAACACUUGGAAAGCAGUAUUUUUUCUUUAUUUUAUCCAGUUUUUUAGUUAUGUUAGGAGAGUAAGCCUAGUCCCAGUUGCUCUGUGGUAGACAGAAACAGAAGUCCCAUUAGAAAAAUGAUUAUACCACUGAAAUGCAUGAGCAUUAGUUCUGGUACUUUGCAACCCUUAUAAUUUGGAAAAAGUUCAUGGAAUGAUGAAGAAAGAGGAAAAAAAAUUCAGUGUUAGCAUAGUAAAAUAACAAGUAGAGUAAUAAUACUAAAUAUAUAGGAUUAUCAUAUGUAUAGGAUAUGUUAUGUGUGUUCUUUUGUGUGGAUAAUUACAUACAUAAUUUAAUCUCAAAAAUCAUAGGUAGGUGCUAUUAUUAUCUCCAUUUACAGAGUUAUAAAUUGAGGUACAGAAAAAUGAAGUAACACAAGAGCACACAGCUAGUAAAUGGUAGAUCUAGGGUUUGAUCCACCCUAGCCAAAUAAAAAUUGCUACCUAAGGAAACUGGGUAGGUCUCACAUUCCAUAUCUGAGCAGUGAAGUAGGUUGUAUUUAGAAGUAUGGUAUUGCUCAAGACUCAAUUAUAUGAUCUUUUUUUCUCCUUUGAAAAUUCUUCUUGCUCCAAAUUUCAUCACUGGCAGAAUUUUUUUAAACCUAGGGCUUUAUAUACAUCAUCAUUAUCAUGUGAAUGACCCCCAUCUCCUUAUAGCUCUACCUAUUUACUGAUACUCCAUAUCUAUAUCUACAUCAAUAUAUAUCCUUAACUGUAGGUCAUACCUCUGCCUACUUACUUCACAUCUCUGUGCCUCUCAGUACCUUAGAGCCUACAGGUCUUUUUUUUUUUUUUUUUUGAGAUGGAGUUUCGCUCUUGUUACCCAGGCUGGAGUGCAAUGGCGCGAUCUCGGCUCACCGCAACCUCCGCCUCCUGGCUUUAGGCAAUUCUCCUGCCUCAGACUCCUGAGUAGCUGGGAUUACAGGCACGCGCCACCGUGCCCGGCUAAUUUUUUGUACUUUUAGUAGAGACGGGGUUUCACCAUGUUGACCAGGAUGGUCUCGAUCUCUUGACCUCGUGAUCCACCUGCCUCAGCCUCCCAAAAUGCUGGGAUUACAGGUGUGAGCCACCGCGCCCGGCCUUGAUCCUACAAGUCUUAAACAGAAUUCAAUAUCCAACCUUUUUUCUGUGACCUACACUUCAGUUACUGAAGUUUUUCUUUUUCUAACUGACAGUGAAACAUUUGGGGAUCACCUUUAAAUCCUUCUUGGUUCCUUUCAUGAAACAGGCUCUUAGAACCUGUUUUACUUGAGAAAUGUCUCUCAAAAAGGUCCUUUUUUGUUUCUGCUGCCCUAAUCCAGGACCUCCUUAUUCCUUAUUGCUCUGUUGCAACAGAAAGUUAUUUGACCUUCUUGUCUUUAUUGUUUUCCUAUUCUUUCUAUCCUUCACUGUACUUGCAGAAUUAUCAGCAUAAAACUCAGAUAGAUUUGCUAAUACCUUAAUAAAAAUCAUUAAAAUCUUGUAGUGGCUCAUCAUUGUAUUCUUUUUUUUUUGAGGCGGAGUUUUGCUUUUGUUACCCAGGCUGGGGUGCAAUGGUGCGAUCUCGGCUCACCGCAACCUCCGCCUCCUGGGUUCAAGCAAUUCUUCUGCCUCAGCCUCCUGAGUAGCUGGGACUACAGGCACGCACCACAAUGCCCAGCUAAUUUUUUGUAUUUUUAGUAGAGAUGGGGUUUUACCAUGUUGACCAGGAUGGUCUUGAUCUCUUGACCUCGGGAUCCACCCGCCUCGGCCUCCCAAAGUGCUGGGAUUACAGGCUUGAGCCACCACGCCCGGUUUAUCAUUGUAUUCUAAGUCAGAAGUUAAAAGCAAGGCUUUGGAUCUGACUGACUUCAAUUUCCUUUCCUCUACUUUCUAGCCAUGAUACGUUGGGAAUUUACUUAAUUCUUUAGCCUUAGCUUCCUCUCCUAUAAAAUGGGCAUAAUAAUAGUUCCUCUUCAUAAGAAUGUUAGGAAGAUGUUAUUUCAAUGAAAUAAAAAAAUGUUAAAAUAUUUCAGUGCUUGGCAUGUACAUACUCAAUAAAUGAAAGCUGUUAUUGUAUUGUUAAGAGAAUAGUGUUCACAGCCUUCCAAAGGUCAUUAUAGCUUGCCUUGCAUUAUAGAUUGCAGAUCUAUUAGAGGCUUGCUAAUGUAGCUCAUACUUUCGUACCUCCAUGUUUUGGUUCAUGCUGUGUUCCCUGCUUGUUGAAAGAAUACCGUGCCACCUCUCCUGUGAAACCUUUCUCAGUUACCACAGUUAGACCUAAUUACUCUUUAGGGCUUACUUAGUCUUAAUGAGAGAAUAUGCCACUAGUUAUUCCCGUUCUUCUAGCACUUAGCUUGCCUAACAGUUGGGCUCUUAAGAGUCAGACAAAUGGCAAGAUCAGUCAGUGUUAGCUGCUAUUGUUAUUAUUAUUUUUAGUAGUUGUGUUAGUAGAGGUCUUCUCUUUUGACCUCUACCAGACUACUGCCUCCUCAAGGGCAAAAUCAUCUGAUUCAUUUUUGUUUUUUCUCACAGUGUCUACAACAGUCCUUUGUACAUAAUGAGUACUCAGUAA
RNA transcript from Callithrix jacchus (white-tufted-ear marmoset), 11374 nucleotides. It is a transcript of the gene named keratin, type II cytoskeletal 7 pseudogene, with no coding region annotated. The record is from RefSeq and is a predicted model, not a curated record. NCBI's taxonomy places the organism in Eukaryota, Metazoa, Chordata, Mammalia, Primates, Cebidae.